RNAcentral lists this long non-coding RNA (416 nucleotides) under Piliocolobus tephrosceles (Ugandan red Colobus). Its description in RNAcentral is "lncRNA (ENSPTEG00000009011.1)". It matches the Rfam family "Eukaryotic large subunit ribosomal RNA", at positions 1166 to 2014 of the family's 3401-position model. The record is from RNAcentral. Lineage: Eukaryota; Metazoa; Chordata; Mammalia; Primates; Cercopithecidae.
CUCCUAACGCUUGGAUAAGGUGCCUAAAUUAUUCGCUUAUUAGAUCCCAUGAAAAGGUGUUGGUUCAUUAUGACAGUAGGACGGUGGUCAUGGAAGUCGAAAUCCGCUAAGGAGUGUGUAACAACUCACCUACCGAAUGAACUAGCCCUGAAAAUGGAUGGCGCUACAGCGGAUUACCGAUACCAAGCCAUAAAAAAAAAAAAUUAAAUAAAAUAAAAACUUUUUACUAUAUACAAAAAUGAGCGUACCGACAACCGCAUCAGGUCUCCAAGGUUAGUAGCCUCUGGUUAAGUAGAAAAAAGUAAGUAAGGGAAGUCGGCAAAAUAGAUCCGUAACUUUGGGAAAAGGAUUGGCUCUGAGGGCAUGGAGUUAAGAUGCGUAAUAAAAAAAAUUACAUACGUUAGUGAUAUAUUUAA